This is a long non-coding RNA of Lutra lutra (Eurasian river otter), 1995 nucleotides long. RefSeq lists it as uncharacterized. NCBI's taxonomy places the organism in Eukaryota, Metazoa, Chordata, Mammalia, Carnivora, Mustelidae. The transcript has 3 exons. The record is from RefSeq and is a predicted model, not a curated record.
GCCGCUGCUAUCUCAUCGGACACUCAGAGGUCAGGAGAGAGCAGCUCCCCAGAUGAACUCCUGGAAGGAGGCAAGUGUGUCGACCCCUCAACCGUGAGCCCUACUGCAGCCUCAGAGUCGGGCUCCGGCAUGGCACUUCCCUGGGGCACCCUGGACUCCACCUGCGAGCAAGGCCCAGUGAGCGGCAGGAAGGCAGCAUACCAGAGCAGCUGGGUGUCCCUAGCCUCUGCACACAGGGCCCACCCAACUGCCCUCGAGGAACAGUAAGACUGGGCCGACACAGGAGUAGGCGUGUAGGGUGUCCGUGAGUCCACCUGAAGGCUCCCAGUGAGGACACUGGAGGACACGUCUGAUUUGUUGUCCUCAUGACAGGGCCUCCGAGAACUGGAGAGAAUUCUAGUGCCUUCUGGCCUAAAGCCUUCUGGCCCUAUCUGGACCCCAGGAGAAGUAUUACAAACACCCAGAAAUGUAACAGGGUGCCUUCAAAUCCACCUGGAGACGCUUCCUGAUCAGAGAAAAUGGCAGCCUGGCUGGCCAGCUGGAGUUGGAAUUCAGAUGAGGCACAUGGAGGCCCACAGUCCUCCACGGUACUGGAAUGACUCCCGCAGGGAAAAGCUCAGGGUACCAACCUUGGGAGCAGAAUGAAUUGACACAUGAUCUGCAGGCCUAUCACCUGACAAUGGGACCCUACAGAGAUCUCUGCUGGGAAGAAGCAGACUAAUUGUGAAUUGCACUCUGGACUCUGAAGAUCUGGGUUGGAAUUCUGCUGUCCCUUCCCCCAACCCACCUGAACUAAGUUACCACCCUCCCACUAGCCUCUCUCCCAAAUGCCUGUAUUUUCCCCAAUUUGUAAUGGGAUUGCUUGUGUGUUUAUUGUUGCUCGCCUCUAUAAAACCUUCCAAGCCCCAUUGGGACACAGGCCGUACUUGUACUGCUCAUCAUUAGGUCCCGAGGGCGGUAUCUGACCUGGCACAUGGAAGUAUUUAUUCACUGUCUGCUAAGUGGAUUGAUGUACCUGGUGAGCUAACGCCUUGACUUCCCUGGGUGUUCCUGGUGCUCUUGAAGCACUCAGCCCCGUGCACAGACACCAUGCCCGUCUAAUGGAUGGGAGCUACCAUUAGAGCCUCUGAAAAGACAAGGAACUUGGACUGGGUUUUCAGAAGUUAGAGCAGAAAGCAGAUGACCAUCUGUCUCCCUUGCCCCAUCAUUUUGAGAAUGGAGAGCUCCGCACAGAGAGGGGAAAUGAUUUACCCUGCCGAGCUUCCCAAGGAACCCGCCCUUCCUCCGCCCCCUCAGCAGUAGCCUCCAGACUUGGUACUCUGACGGUCUCAACUGCUAUUUUUCUUGUUCUCCGUGGGCCAUGUUUUGACAGACAAAGUACACCAUAUCAGUUCCCAGAUCUUACGAAUUCCUGAGGGGCCAGCUCAAAUGCUAUCUCCUCCAGAAAGCCUCCCCGGGCCCUUUAUAUUCGAGAACCCCAGCUCUCCUUCUGGCCCAAGUUAUUUCUGCCCUUGCAUUUGGGUGAUUAGAGCAUGUGCUGCCAAAACCCUUACCUUCUGGCUCAGGAACACAUCCACAGCAACCACUGCCUGCUUCCCAAACACCGAGGGCUAGGCUGUUGUGUUUAUGCGUUAACGAGUCAGCGAGCAAGAUGCACUGGUUCCCCAGGGGCGCACCACUCUUUAACGGGUCAGGGCCAUGAACUCUUGUACAAAAGACCCGAGCAUCACCCCAGCCAGGCUGAAUCAAAUGCAGCUUCGAGGCUGUGAUUCCAAGACAAAUCCAUACAAACUGAAUUUAGUGCCUGCACAGAGCGGAGGCCGCAGUCACGGGUUUCGACGGGUGGCUAAAUGGUCCUGACGAGCGGAAGCAGCAGUACUAGCCUCCGGGAAAGGCCACAUCUCCCUGGACCAACAGUGGCAGAGGAGGUGUCUUUUUAAACAAGCCAAAAGGGCUUUCUCAUCUAGAAGAAUAAAUAAAUGUUGUUCAAUGGCU